AUUGAACGCUGGCGGCAGGCUUAACACAUGCAAGUCGAGCGGAGACUUCGGUCUUAGCGGCGAACGGGUGAGUAACACCUAGGAAUCUGCCUAUUAGUGGGGGAUAACGUGUGGAAACGCACGCUAAUACCGCAUACGUCCUACGGGAGAAAGCAGGGGAUCUUCGGACCUUGCGCUAAUAGAUGAGCCUAGGCCGGAUUAGCUAGUUGGUGGGGUAAAGGCCUACCAAGGCGACGAUCUGUAGCUGGUCUGAGAGGAUGGCCAGCCACACUGGAACUGAGACACGGUCCAGACUCCUACGGGAGGCAGCAGUGGGGAAUAUUGGACAAUGGGGGCAACCCUGAUCCAGCCAUGCCGCGUGUGUGAAGAAGGCCUUCGGUUGUAAGCACUUAAGUCGAGGAGGAAGUUUUAGGUUAAUACCUAACGAAUUAGACGUUACUCGCAGAAUAAGCACCGGCGUAACUACUGUG
Molecule: ribosomal RNA, 470 nt
Filed under: uncultured bacterium
Lineage: Bacteria
Description: bacterial SSU rRNA
Rfam family: Bacterial small subunit ribosomal RNA
Source: RNAcentral